This 546-nucleotide ribosomal RNA is filed under the name uncultured bacterium. RNAcentral's name for it is "bacterial SSU rRNA". It matches the Rfam family "Bacterial small subunit ribosomal RNA", at positions 102 to 674 of the family's 1533-position model. The record is from RNAcentral.
AAGGGGCAGUAAGGCAUGGGUACCUACCCGGGGGUUCGGGAUAGCCAUCAGAGAUGGUGGGUAAUACCGGAUGACCUCGUGAGAGCAAAGAUUUAUCGCCCCCGGAGGGGCCCAUGUGAUAUUAGCUAGUUGGUGAGGUAACGGCUCACCAAGGCGAAGAUGUCUAGCGGGUGUGAGAGCACGACCCGCGCCACUCGCACUGAGACACUGGCGAGACACCUACGGGUGGCUGCAGUCGAGGAUCUUCGGCAAUGGGGGCAACCCUGACCGAGCGGUGCCGCGUGCGCGAUGAAGGCCUUCGGGUUGUAAAGCGCUUUAGUGGGGGAGAAAAGCCGCAAGGUGUGAUCUAUCCCAAAAAUAAGCUCGGGCUAAGUUCGUGCCAGCAGCCGCGGUAAGACGAACCGAGCGAACGUUGUUCGGAAUCACUGGGCUUAAAGGGCGCGUAGGCGGGCUAUCAAGUCUGGGGUGAAAUGCCACGGCUCAACCGUGGAACUGCCUCAGAUACUGACGGCCUCGAGGGAGGUAGGGGCAUGUGGAACUGUAGGU